RNAcentral lists this ribosomal RNA (253 nucleotides) under uncultured bacterium. RNAcentral describes it as "partial 16S ribosomal RNA". It matches the Rfam family "Bacterial small subunit ribosomal RNA", at positions 524 to 776 of the family's 1533-position model. The record is from RNAcentral.
UACGUAGGGUGCGAGCGUUAAUCGGAAUUACUGGGCGUAAAGCGUGCGCAGGCGGUUUUGUAAGCCAGAUGUGAAAUCCCCGGGCUUAACCUGGGAAUGGCAUUUGGGACUGCAAGGCUGGAGUGUGGCAGAGGAGAGUGGAAUUCCUGGUGUAGCGGUGAAAUGCGCAGAUAUCAGGAAGAACACCCGUGGCGAAGGCGGCUCUCUGGGACGGUACUGACGCUGAGACGCGAAAGCGUGGGGAGCGAACAGG